Molecule: long non-coding RNA, 530 nt
Organism: Solanum lycopersicum (tomato)
Lineage: Eukaryota; Viridiplantae; Streptophyta; Magnoliopsida; Solanales; Solanaceae
Source: RefSeq, a predicted model, not a curated record
AAUUCAAACGAGAAUCUAAUUUAACGAUCACAAGUUUUUCCCAUUUUUCGAUCAUUUGGCGUUCGUCAGUUUCAAGGUGGCGAAGAGACAAGCAAUGGCGGAUUGGCAGCCAAUUCAUCGGCGGUGGAGAAAAAUCAGACCGGUAAAUUGAUAAUCGCUCGAGCGGCCAAGAAACGACUGAUACUUUCUAAUAUCUCGAAUCAUACAACUCUCCCUGCUCGUAACUCGAUUUCUCAUUCCUUCAAACUUGAAACUCAGGAAGCUGAGAUCAAAAUGAUAAGGAAGAGCUUAAAAUUUAAAGCAACACCUAUGCCAAGCUUUUAUCAGUAACCUGCACCUCCAAAGAUGGAGUUGAGAAAGUAGUUUUUUGCUAUGUUGUAUGUUAUAAUGCCGAAAAAUACAAUCUUGUAUGGUAUGAAAUGCCUUUUGUUGUUCUUAGGCAUAGUAUGUUGAAUGUUUAGUGGUUCUUUACCAAAAUUGAUAUGAUUUGCUUUAUCCUGAAAAAACUUAAUAUAUUUGGUGUUAGGUAA